AGAUUGAACGCUGGCGGCAGGCCUAACACAUGCAAGUCGAGCGGUAGAGAGGUGCUUGCACCUCUUGAGAGCGGCGGACGGGUGAGUAAUGCCUAGGAAUCUGCCUAGUGGUGGGGGAUAACGUUCGGAAACGGACGCUAAUACCGCAUACGUCCUACGGGAGAAAGCGGGGGACCUUCGGGCCUCGCGCCAUUAGAUGAGCCUAGGUCGGAUUAGCUAGUUGGUGAGGUAAUGGCUCACCAAGGCGACGAUCCGUAACUGGUCUGAGAGGAUGAUCAGUCACACUGGAACUGAGACACGGUCCAGACUCCUACGGGAGCAGCAGUGGGAAUAU
RNAcentral lists this ribosomal RNA (334 nucleotides) under uncultured soil bacterium. Its description in RNAcentral is "bacterial SSU rRNA". It matches the Rfam family "Bacterial small subunit ribosomal RNA", at positions 26 to 364 of the family's 1533-position model. The record is from RNAcentral.